GGGGUUGUGGCUCAGUGGCAAAGCACUCACCUAGAAGGUGUGAGGCUCUGGGUUCAAUCCUCAGCACCA
This 69-nucleotide transfer RNA is filed under the name Ictidomys tridecemlineatus (thirteen-lined ground squirrel). RNAcentral describes it as "Spermophilus tridecemlineatus (thirteen-lined ground squirrel) tRNA". It matches the Rfam family "tRNA". Rfam says of the family: Transfer RNA (tRNA) molecules are approximately 80 nucleotides in length. The record is from Rfam by way of RNAcentral. Lineage: Eukaryota; Metazoa; Chordata; Mammalia; Rodentia; Sciuridae.